UACGUAGGGAGCGAGCGUUGUCCGAAGUUACUGGGCGUAAAGCGCGCGUAGGCGGGCUGUUAAGUGAGAGGUGAAAGGCUGGGGCUCAACCCCAUGCAGUGCCUCUCAUACUGGCGGUCUUGAGUGCGGCAGGGAGAAGUGGAAUGGCUGGUGUAGCGGUGAAAUGCGUAGAUAUCAGUCGGAACACCGGUGGCGAAGGCGGGUCUCUGGGCCGAUACUGACGCUGAGGAGCGAAAGCGUGGGGAGCGAACAGG
Molecule: ribosomal RNA, 254 nt
Filed under: uncultured bacterium
Lineage: Bacteria
Description: partial 16S ribosomal RNA
Rfam family: Bacterial small subunit ribosomal RNA
Source: RNAcentral